AUGGCAGAGAAGAAAUCAGAGGAGGUAGAAGCGAAAAGGCAGGAAAUUGCAAGGAGGAAAGUAGAGAAGUCAGAAAGAAGAAGAAGAGCAGCACAAGAGAAGAAAGUUGUGGAAUCUGCAGCAAGGCUGGAAGCUGCAGCAGCAAGAAAAGCUGCAUUGCAAGAAGAGAAGGAGGCCAGAGCCCUUGAAGCAAUGGCAACUAAAGCAGAGGCAGCACUGAAGAGAAAAGAAGAUCAAGAAGCAAAGAGAACUAUGGCAGCACUAAAGAGAAAAGAAGAUCAGGAAGCAAGGAAGAAACAACAAGAAGAGGCCAAGAGAAUAAGAGCUGAGCAGAGGAAGCAAGCAGGGCCAAGUGGACAUGUGCCCAAGAAGCUGAAGAGAGUGAACAUGUUUGAUGAGUUUAGAUGA
Molecule: ribosomal RNA, 408 nt
Filed under: Triticum aestivum (bread wheat)
Lineage: Eukaryota; Viridiplantae; Streptophyta; Magnoliopsida; Poales; Poaceae
Description: partial small subunit ribosomal RNA
Source: RNAcentral